Molecule: RNA transcript, 2606 nt
Organism: Syngnathus acus (greater pipefish)
Lineage: Eukaryota; Metazoa; Chordata; Actinopteri; Syngnathiformes; Syngnathidae
Gene name: post-GPI attachment to proteins factor 2-like
Exons: 9
Source: RefSeq, a predicted model, not a curated record
GCUUGUAUUACUUCUUCAACCCGGAAUUGAUUCUUAGUGACACUGUUUGGAAUCGUAACUUUCGACACCCGGUAGCGGAAUAGUGUUGAACUAUUCAUUGAUAGUCAAGUAGCCACAACAGCUGAGCAGGCGUCCAAAAAUGUAGUGAAUGCUAUUUUAAAUUGGAUGUUACAACUACAUUUCGUAUAGGAGAUAGCUCUUCUUCGAAGCCACGUUAGCUGCAGAGCUAACCAGAGCUAACAGGGCUUUCGGUCGGGGGCUAAACGCGGUGGAAUGACCUGAGAAAACAAGCCAGGAGAGCAGUAAAGGUUUGACAUUUCAAUGAUGCUCCACCUGCCAUACAACAGCGUGGACCGGGAUCGCCCCCUCUUCCAACUUCCCUUCACCAUCUUUGUCACAGGGAUGCUUCUUCUUCCUGUGACGGGCCUCAUUGUGUCCCUCUUCAUUUCUAUCGUAUACCACUUUGAAGAUGCCAACUACACACAUUGUCAUGUGUCCAACUACCUCCCAUCGAUCAGCGCCGCCAUCAGUCGUGUGCCGGAGCUCUACAUCUGGCGCUUCUGCAUUGGAAUGCAUUCGGCGCCGCGCUUCCUGUUGGCCGCCACCUAUUUCAAUUUCUACCGCGGCCGUUUCGCCACCAAGCUUCCAGAGCUGCUCCUGAGCUGGCUGGCGCUGGCGUGCAACCUGACUGAAAACUGCGCCCUCCUGCUGCUCACCUAUGUGGCGUCCACAGAGAUCUACACUGUUCACAAAGGGGGCUUCCUCACGUUCAUUGUGAGCUCACAACUCUACAUGCUGAUCUCGUGCAGGUUGUGGUACGUGAUCAAGAGUCACUGUGUGAACAAACAGGAGAUGAUUUCGUACAAGUGGAAGGUGCACCUUCUCCUCUGCAACUUGGGCUGCUGUGUGGCUGCCGCCUACUUCUUCAGACGCCACAACAAGCACUGCGAGGCCGGAGUCUACACGCUGUUUGCUCUCUUCGAGUACCUGGUGGUGUUCUCCAACAUGGCCUUCCACACUACGUCGAUCUUGGACUUUGAGGGCAAGAUACGGAUAGAGGGAGAGGAAAACGAGAGAAGGCAAGAGGAAACAGGUGAGAACAAUCAGGAGACCAUGACAAGCAAGAACGUUUAUUGAACCUUUAAAAUCUGCUUCGGCCCACCACACAUGGACGGGCAGCUUCUAGUGUAGGACAUUUGGAGGCCUCGUUUGUUUGAUGUCUUCUUUUGAAGGUUUUUAACGACUCCCUUACGAAACAUUGAAAUACUUGUUAAAGAAGGAGAUAGUUGCACGGAGAGAGCAGGAUGGAGAGACGAGGGACACGCAGGGUGCAAGACCUGGAAAGAGGCAGGUGAGAAAUGGGCAGCGCUUGUUUGUAGAUCUGUCCAAAAAGAACAGCAAAUGAUAUCCACAUUCCAUUUCAUGGAUGCUUUUGUCGCAAAGGGAGAAGAGAAGAGCAGGCAAAGUUUUGAAGGUAGCGGCAGACCAGAGAGGUACACCGUAUUAAAAGCAUUUUUUAAUCUGUAUGUUUGAUGAAAAUGAUAUUCCCAUAUCAGUAAAAAAAAAAAAAAAGAAAUCAUGCUUUUCAAGUUUGCUGUUGACUUCCCCAUUUGUAGCAAUCGGUUGCAUAUUUUACAUGUACAGGCUCUGGCACGCCCGCGACCCUCACCUUUGGAAAACAUCUUUUACUCAUUUCACACAGCUCCGCAAUUGCUUUUGGGAUUUAUUGUGAACCUUAAAGAGGGACGGAGACCCUGCGUGAUGAUCAAAUCAACAUUUAUUAUCAGGGGCAUUCUCAGCCUGAUUAGUAUGGCAGGUCGUAACUUCCGCUAACGACGCCUCGUGAGCAAGGUGAAGAAAGAGUCUGCAGUCAGGAAGAGGAAGCGCUGAGGAGUUGCCGCCAUGAAGGACGGAGGAGAAUUCACGCCGUCUCCACUCUCCGACGGCCUCUGCCGGAUAGCUUCUGAUUUUUGCCCAAUCCGAGAGAUUCUAUUUGAUGUGGCACCAAGAACAUUUCAUUUAAACUUCAUUUAGACUUGGAUGACAUUUUCUUCACAUUUUUCACCCGCUUUGUGGUCGAUUUUUUUUUUUUUCUCGCCAUUUUUUUCAAUGGGGGCUUUACUGUUGUAAACUUCUUUUCAACCUCCCCACCUGGAACUUAGAAUCAAAAAGCCGCUUUUAGACAGUUCUGAUCCCAUCACUGGAGAGCAGCGCACAAAGCUUCUUGGUGACGGCAGGCUCUGGGUUGAGGAAGGCCCUGACGGCCUCAGCGAACACAUCCUUGAUGCCGUCCUGGUUGAGGGCGGAGCACUCCAGGUAGCGCACGGCUUGGAUCUGGCGAGCCAGCGUGACACCCUGGUGAUGAGUGACUGGCGCCUGAUCCUGCUCCUUCAGCUUCCUCUGGGUGUCGGUGUCGUUUCGGAGGUCGCUCUUGGUGCCCACCAGGAGGACGGGCACGCCAGGACAGUGGUGUGACACCUGAGGAAGGGGCGAGACGAGGAGGCUGGGCUUGAGAUGGAGAAGCAAAUGAUGAAGACGUUGGUCUGCGGGUAAGACAACGUCCUCAGGCGGUCGUACUCCUCCUGGCCCGCCGUGUCCCACAGGUU